UGGUGGACGACGCACAAACUGUGCAACCAAAAAAGCAAGUUUGUGAGCAUAUUGGCAAGGCGCAGGUACUCUAACGGUACCAGACCAAUUAUAAUACAUAUGACAUAACUUGAUAUUAAUUAUAAUAUAUAAAAAAUUAUAUAUUAUACCUGUUGCACGACAAAGUUCCGGAACAAGAUAUACCAAUUCGGCUUGACCAGCACGACGUUCUCUUGGUUUCAAUCUCGUUACAAGCAUUGGUUGAGAGACAUUGUCAAUAGGGAUUUGAUAUUUAUUUUUAUAAUAGUCUCUAUAAGUUACUUUUUCACCGGUUCUUAAUUGAAAAGUUGAAAUAGGACUUGAAUCAAAAUCCACAUCUGAUAUACGAUAUGUAUUAUUGUUGUAAUCACACACAUAAGAAUACUAUUCUCAUGUUGUCUUAUAGAUGUGAGAUAACCAGGCCAAAGUUCCAAUCUAAAAUCACGUACUUCUACCUAUAUUUUAAUUAUGUUAAACAAUUAGUAUUAUAUAGUAUUAUUUUAUAUAUAAAUAUUAAAGAAUUAUAACAAGAA
Apis cerana (Asiatic honeybee) is the source of this 551-nucleotide long non-coding RNA. RefSeq lists it as uncharacterized. Lineage: Eukaryota; Metazoa; Arthropoda; Insecta; Hymenoptera; Apidae. The record is from RefSeq and is a predicted model, not a curated record.